This 103-nucleotide ribosomal RNA is filed under the name Staphylococcus aureus. RNAcentral's name for it is "partial 16S ribosomal RNA". It matches the Rfam family "Bacterial small subunit ribosomal RNA", at positions 1 to 95 of the family's 1533-position model. Lineage: Bacteria; Bacillati; Bacillota; Bacilli; Caryophanales; Staphylococcaceae. The record is from RNAcentral.
AUUUUUAUGGAGAGUUUGAUCCUGGCUCAGGAUGAACGCUGGCGGCGUGCCUAAUACAUGCAAGUCGAGCGAACGGACGAGAAGCUUGCUUCUCUGAUGUUAG